RNAcentral lists this ribosomal RNA (253 nucleotides) under uncultured bacterium. Its description in RNAcentral is "partial 16S ribosomal RNA". It matches the Rfam family "Bacterial small subunit ribosomal RNA", at positions 524 to 776 of the family's 1533-position model. The record is from RNAcentral.
UACAGAGGGUGCGAGCGUUAAUCGGAAUUACUGGGCGUAAAGCGCACGUAGGUGGCGACGUAAGUCGGGUGUGAAAGCCCCGGGCUCAACCUGGGAAUUGCAUUCGAGACUGCAUUGCUGGAGUACGGAAGAGGAGAGCAGAAUUCCCGGUGUAGCGGUGAAAUGCGUAGAUAUCGGGAGGAACAUCAGUGGCGAAGGCGGCCCUCUGGUCCAGUACUGACACUCAAGUGAGAAAGCGUGGGGAGCAAACAGG